This 492-nucleotide ribosomal RNA is filed under the name uncultured bacterium. Its description in RNAcentral is "partial 16S ribosomal RNA". It matches the Rfam family "Bacterial small subunit ribosomal RNA", at positions 29 to 507 of the family's 1533-position model. The record is from RNAcentral.
AUUGAACGCUGGCGGCAUGCUUUACACAUGCAAGUCGAACGGUAACAGGCCUUCGGGUGCUGACGAGUGGCGAACGGGUGAGUAAUGCAUCGGAACGUACCCAGUGGCGGGGGAUAACGCAGCGAAAGCUGUGCUAAUACCGCAUGUGAUCUGAGGAUGAAAGCGGGGGACCGAGCAGCAAUGUUUGGCCUCGCGCCUUUGGAGCGGCCGAUGUCGGAUUAGCUAGUUGGUGGGGUAAAGGCCUACCAAGGCGACGAUCCGUAGCUGGUCUGAGAGGACGACCAGCCACACUGGGACUGAGACACGGCCCAGACUCCUACGGGAGGCAGCAGUGGGGAAUUUUGGGCAAUGGGCGCAAGCCUGAUCCAGCAAUGCCGCGUGCGGGAAGAAGGCCUUCGGGUUGUAAACCGCUUUUGGCAGGAACGAAACGGUGUCCGCUAAUACCGGGCGCUAAUGACGGUACCUGCAGAAUAAGCACCGGCUAACUACGUG